This 60-nucleotide transfer RNA is filed under the name Ovatella vulcani. Its description in RNAcentral is "tRNA-Ser". Lineage: Eukaryota; Metazoa; Mollusca; Gastropoda; Ellobiida; Ellobiidae. The record is from RNAcentral.
GAGAAGUUUUGGAUCGAGGCUGCUAACUUUGAUCUGGGGCCCAGGCGGCUCCGCUUCUUU